Molecule: ribosomal RNA, 444 nt
Filed under: uncultured bacterium
Lineage: Bacteria
Description: bacterial SSU rRNA
Rfam family: Bacterial small subunit ribosomal RNA
Source: RNAcentral
AACGCGAAGAACCUUACCUGGGCUCGAACGGCUUUGGAUCGACGGUGGAAACACUGUUUUCCCGCAAGGGACCGGAGUCGAGGUGCUGCAUGGCUGUCGUCAGCUCGUGUCGUGAGAUGUUGGGUUAAGUCCCGCAACGAGCGCAACCCUUGUCCUGUGUUGCCACUCCCGUAAGGGAAGCACUCUCAGGAGACCGCCAGCGAUAAGUUGGAGGAAGGUGGGGAUGAUGUCAAGUCCUCAUGGCCUUUAUGUCCAGGGCUACACACGUGCUACAAUGGACGGUACAAAGCGUCGCUAACCUGCGAAGGGGAGCCAAUCGCAAAAAACCGUUCUCAGUUCGGAUUGCAGGCUGCAACCCGCCUGCAUGAAGCUGGAAUCGCUAGUAAUGGCAGAUCAGCACGCUGCCGUGAAUACGUUCCCGGGCCUUGUACACACCGAGACGUA